Long non-coding RNA from Mangifera indica (mango), 570 nucleotides. RefSeq lists it as uncharacterized. The transcript has 2 exons. The record is from RefSeq and is a predicted model, not a curated record. Lineage: Eukaryota; Viridiplantae; Streptophyta; Magnoliopsida; Sapindales; Anacardiaceae.
UCCUCAACGUCCUCGUCGCAAUCUCCGCCGUAUGGGGCCUCUAAUCUGGGGCGUUUGUUACUUCUCACCCCAUGUUUUGGAUGGAUGAGCUUCAACUGCUUCUUCAAAUCCUUGUACGACAAAAACUUGUCUCGCCAAUCAGAAGUACCAUCAAUUGAGGUUACUCGUGAUCUUCCAGAUGUUGACAGGAAUGGAUAUAUUUUCUCUGAUGGCAUAGGUAUGACCACUCUUGAUAUUGCAGUGGAAGUUUCAGAGAGUUUGAAAUGGACAUGGCAAGACAUGAGUAGUGAGGAUAAGGGAAACUAUUACAAGAGGAAUGAGAAUAAAGAGGGGAAAGAAAGGAAGACAAGGCAUCUAAAAAUAUUUGUAUUGAGCAGGUUUGAAUUGAGAACCGGAGUCUCAAAUUGCUAGGAUUAAUUUUGCUAUGUAGGAGAGAUCUGGUCUCUCAAAUUGCUAGGACUUGAUCGUCUUGUUUUCUAGUAAUUUGAUGUUGGUUCUCGUUAGCAACAUUGUAGCCGAUUGUGGCCAAUAUUACUAGUUAAUGAAAAUAUUGCAGUAGAAUAUCCCGAA